RNAcentral lists this ribosomal RNA (448 nucleotides) under uncultured Sphingomonas sp. RNAcentral describes it as "bacterial SSU rRNA". It matches the Rfam family "Bacterial small subunit ribosomal RNA", at positions 934 to 1382 of the family's 1533-position model. The record is from RNAcentral. Lineage: Bacteria; Pseudomonadati; Pseudomonadota; Alphaproteobacteria; Sphingomonadales; Sphingomonadaceae.
GGAGCAUGUGGUUUAAUUCGAAGCAACGCGCAGAACCUUACCAGCGUUUGACAUGUCCGGACGAUUUCCAGAGAUGGAUCUCUUCCCUUCGGGGACUGGAACACAGGUGCUGCAUGGCUGUCGUCAGCUCGUGUCGUGAGAUGUUGGGUUAAGUCCCGCAACGAGCGCAACCCUCGCCUUUAGUUACCAUCAUUUAGUUGGGGACUCUAAAGGAACCGCCGGUGAUAAGCCGGAGGAAGGUGGGGAUGACGUCAAGUCCUCAUGGCCCUUACGCGCUGGGCUACACACGUGCUACAAUGGCGGUGACAGUGGGCAGCAAACUCGCGAGAGUGCGCUAAUCUCCAAAAGCCGUCUCAGUUCGGAUUGUUCUCUGCAACUCGAGAGCAUGAAGGCGGAAUCGCUAGUAAUCGCGGAUCAGCAUGCCGCGGUGAAUACGUUCCCAGGCCUU